UGGGGAAUACUGCACAAUGGGCGCAAGCCUGAUGCAGCCAUGCCGCGUGUGUGAAGAAGGCCUUCGGGUUGUAAAGCACUUUCAGCGAGGAGGAAGGUGGUGAGCUUAAUACGCUCAUCAAUUGACGUUACUCGCAGAAGAAGCACCGGCUAACUCCGUGCCAGCAGCCGCGGUAAUACGGAGGGUGCAAGCGUUAAUCGGAAUUACUGGGCGUAAAGCGCACGCAGGCGGUUUGUUAAGUCAGAUGUGAAAUCCCCGGGCUCAACCUGGGAACUGCAUUUGAAACUGGCAAGCUAGAGUCUCGUAGAGGGGGGUAGAAUUUCCAGGUGUAGCGGUGAAAUGCGUAGAGAUCUGGAGGAAUACCGGUGGCGAAGGCGGCCCCCCUGGACGAAGACUGACGCUCAGGUGCGAAAGCGUGGGGCAGCAAACAGGAUUAGAUACCCUGGUAGUCCACGCUGUAAACGAUGUCGAUUUGGAGGUUGUGCCCUGAGGCGUGGNUUCCGGAGCUAACGCGUUAAAUCGACCGCCUGGGGAGUACGGCCGCAAGGUUAAAACUUAAAUGAAUUGCGGGUCUAGCUGUUCC
This 583-nucleotide ribosomal RNA is filed under the name uncultured bacterium. Its description in RNAcentral is "partial 16S ribosomal RNA". It matches the Rfam family "Bacterial small subunit ribosomal RNA", at positions 355 to 936 of the family's 1533-position model. The record is from RNAcentral.